This 3131-nucleotide long non-coding RNA is filed under the name Mytilus galloprovincialis (Mediterranean mussel). The record is from RNAcentral. Lineage: Eukaryota; Metazoa; Mollusca; Bivalvia; Mytilida; Mytilidae.
UACUAAUCGAGAUGAGGCCUUUCAAGGUAGCAAGGCAAUUUUUCUAACGUACUGCUGAGAAAGGUAAAUAUGAUUAGUUCUAUGAUCACGAUGAUAGCAUAAUGAUUUUCCUUCAUUAUGACAAAAUAUUGUUUUUUAACUUUUAAGAAAUAUGAUUGACUGUCUUUUCAAACCGUUGGAAAAUUGGAAUUUUCAAAAUAUAUGACUUUCAAAUAAUUUUAUUGAAAGACAUAACAAAGAAAGGUCGUUACACAAAAUUGUAAAGCUAAUAUCAAUGAGUUACAUAAUAUAAUGCUAGAAAAGUUAGAGAUAAUACCAAGGGACAAAUUGGAAAUUCAAUAAAAACAUCCUUACAGUGGUCAUGGUGGCCAUUUAUUAAAAAACGACGAAAAGACAAUUAGAAAUAGCAAUACAAUGCACAUACAAGUUUAAGCUUUCUUGAAUUCGGAGGACUGCUUUGCUAUAUUAUAAUAUGUAUUAAACGUAAUUCUAAAACACACCCACGAAAUCACGGUCAUUUAGUGCGUGAUGGAAAGUAUGUAAACUGUUGAAGAAUGAAAACAAGAUUUUAAGAUUAAAGAAUUCUAGGGAAAGUAUCAAACGUAUUAGCCUGUGAGUGCCAUGGUGUCAUAGCUAAUUUUUUUUAGCCCCCCCUUUUCCCAAAGUCCGUUAUUGUUCAAUUUCGGGUUUUCUGCAUACCAUGAACAUACAUAUACUAAAAUAAAGUGUAUUUGCUAUUUACUACCAUUUCCAAGUUUACUUACUAACCACGGCAGUCACUGAUAUAUGAUAUAGAGACUAUCUAUAUAAUAUAUCAAUGACCGCCGUGGAUAAACUUGAAAUCAAGUUGAUAGCAAAUAGCAAAUACACUUUAUUUAUAGUAUAAGUAUGAUCAAUGAAACAGAAAAACGAGACAACAGUUCCAAAGUACUAAGACAAUUUUAAGACAACCCUGAACGGAACUCUUGUCUAUGACCUAAAAGUCUCGCUGAUGACGCUAACACUAUCCGGACGUUUUCCUCCCAAAAUAACCCAAACUGAAUAAUCAUAAGCAAAGAAGACAAAUGCGAUUAUGCUAGGUACCUUUAGGAUACAGAGUCAUAAUGGUAAAUUAAUUGUGUAAGGAAGAGAAGCGACACACAAAUUGAGGUCUUCUCGUUUAAUAUGUAGAUGUAUGCAUGUGGUUUUUGAUCUAGCAUUGGGAUUUUUGUAUUUUAAGAUAUUGAUUGAUAUACAGUAUAUUGGAUUUACUUGAAGAUCUUGAAGACUUGCGUUCUAAAUUCAUGCUUUAAAAAAUAAAUUUCACUUUACUUGUUGAAAACAUUUACAAAUAGACACGACUCUGGAGGUGUGCCUAGAUUGACGGAAGUUAUAAAAUGCAGAUAGUGAACAGUUUAAGAACAUUAGGUUUUUUUUAGAACAAAUUGUACAUAAUGCAGUUAAACAAAGCUUAUAAACACGCAUUAAUAAUUGAUAUUCUAAUAUUGAGUUUGAACUUUCAGUGAGCAAUAUAUGCAUAGUAAAACGUACGAGAAUUAUUGACAGUUGAUCGGAACUGUAAUACACAUACUUAGUUAAUUUUCCGGCAUUUGAUUCUUUACAAGAUGGCGUGUAUGUCGAUUGAAAAUAAUAGCUCUGCACCAUGAUGCUUAAUUUCAAACAACAUGUUUUGAGUCCCAUUAAAAUAUCUGAAGUACUCCAGAAGGGUAAGGUUAUCCUCCACCACGUGUGAAUCCUGUAGUGUACUCUCAAAAUAUAACAAACAGUCAUGUACAUUGCUUUGUUAUCUUGCAAUAGCGAUUUUGUAAAUGUCACAAGUUUGUUUAUUAUAUCACCAAAUAGAGAAACAAAAACAGCAUGAACCAAACUUGAGGUGCCCCAGAAAGAGGUGAAAAUGGUGCCUUAAUAAUACAUGUAAAGCGUACAAACCUGAAUGUAUGUCUAUGAUAGCUGUAUACGUAGAGUUGGUAAGAAAUAAAAAGAAAUAGGGUUAUUUUUAUGAUCUCACUAGACCUACAAUAUUUCUCAAAAUUUAAAAAUGUUAUACGAUAACAACGAACCCUCUUCCUUUUUUAUUUAAAAUAAAGUUAAGUACAAUUGUUUGUGCCGAAUGUAAGAAGUGCUAAGCAAUACACGUAGACAGACCAUGAAAUAAAACAAGAGCUUUGGUGUUUUACGAGUUAACAAUACUUCAGUGCUGUUAUUAUUGUUUCGUUUUCACUACAUAUUUCUCUUCCUGUGUUCAUUACUAAUCGAUAAGAGGCACUUUGAGGCAUUGAGGCGAUCUAUCGAACGUACUGCUCAUAAAGGACAAUUUGAUUAGUUAUAUACAUGUAGCAGUUUGAUAAUCUACCUUCACUAUGUGAAGAUUUGUUCCCAACUUAAACAAAAAUAUUUCAAUGCAAACCCUUGAGAAAAUCAGUUUUUUAUAUGAUAUUUUUAAACAUUUUUAUAGAUCGAAAAACAUCAGAAGGAUCAUAAAACGAGUUUCUAUUGAUAUCAUUGACAAAAAAUACAUAGAUUAACAUGAUUUCAAAAAAUGCAUUACCAAUGAAAGGUCGACCGGGAGAUUUGAUUAACAACAAUGUGUCAAAUUUGGUUAUUUUGAGAGUUUUUUAAAUUUCCCAACCCCAAAAAGACCAGGUAUAUAUAAAAAAUUAAAUUAUAAAUCAAAGUAUUGUUUAUUACUUAUACACGCAAGUAUAUAGUAUAUAUCCAAAUUAGCGUACAUCAAUUAUAAUGUAAACACACAGGUAAAAAAUUAAAUCUUUUGUAGACGCUUGUCCUGUCUCGGAAUGGGCGAUCAAGCUUUCAGCUUUAUGCUUAUAGUGUCAUAUACUGGGACAUAUACUAGUAUGGUAUAAACCCUGUCAUAUACUAGUAUGGUAUAAACCCUGUCAUAUACUAGUAUGGUAUAAACCCUGUCAUAUACUAGUAUGGUAUAACACUUGAUAUGAUAAUUUGUCAGCUAACAAAAUUUGUUGAACACAGGAAAAAUGAUGAUUCAUGGACUAGCGGAAACCUCUACUCAUGGAAACAUAUACAAAGCGGAUGUCAAAAUUAAAACUUAAACUUUGAACUGUUUUGUUAUUCUACAUCUUUAAAACGGAAAUUUAUGAUUUCAACUCAAC